CCUGAGUGGAUCCUGAGUACGGCGGAACACGUGAAAUUCCGUCGGAAUCCGGGAGGACCAUCUCCCAAGGCUAAAUACUCCCUAGUGACCGAUAGUGAACCAGUACCGUGAGGGAAAGGUGAAAAGCACCCCGGAAGGGGAGUGAAAGAGAUCCUGAAACCGUGUGCCUACAAGUAGUCAGAGCCCGUUAACGGGUGAUGGCGUGCCUUUUGUAGAAUGAACCGGCGAGUUACGAUCCCGUGCAAGGUUAAGCAGAAGAUGCGGAGCCGCAGCGAAAGCGAGUCUGAAUAGGGCGAAUUGAGUACGUGGUCGUAGACCCGAAACCAGGUGAUCUACCCAUGUCCAGGGUGAAGUUCAGGUAACACUGAAUGGAGGCCCGAACCCACGCACGUUGAAAAGUGCGGGGAUGAGGUGUGGGUAGGGGUGAAAUGCCAAUCGAACCUGGAGAUAGCUGGUUCUCUCCGAAAUAGCUUUAGGGCUAGCCUCAAGGUAAGAGUCUCGGAGGUAGAGCACUGAUUGGACUAGGGGCCCCUACCGGGUUACCGAAUUCAGUCAAACUCCGAAUGCCGAUGACUUAUCCUUGGGAGUCAGACUGCGAGUGAUAAGAUCCGUAGUCGAAAGGGAAACAGCCCAGACCGCCAGCUAAGGUCCCAAAGUAUACGUUAAGUGGAAAAGGAUGUGGAGUUGCUUAGACAACCAGGAUGUUGGCUUAGAAGCAGCCACCAUUUAAAGAGUGCGUAAUAGCUCACUGGUCGAGUGACUCUGCGCCGAAAAUGUACCGGGGCUAAACGUAUCACCGAAGCUGCGGACUGUUCUUCGAACAGUGGUAGGAGAGCGUUCUAAGGGCUGUGAAGCAAGACCGGAAGGACUUGUGGAGCGCUUAGAAGUGAGAAUGCCGGUAUGAGUAGCGAAAGAGGGGUGAGAAUCCCCUCCACCGAAUGCCUAAGGUUUCCUGAGGAAGGCUCGUCCGCUCAGGGUUAGUCGGGACCUAAGCCGAGGCCGAAAGGCGUAGGCGAUGGAUAACAGGUUGAUAUUCCUGUACCACCUCCUCACCAUUUGAGCAAUGGGGGGACGCAGGAGGAUAGGGUAAGCGCGGUAUUGGAUAUCCGCGUCCAAGCAGUUAGGCUGGGAAAUAGGCAAAUCCGUUUCCCGUGAAGGCUGAGCUGUGAUGGCGAGCGAAUUAUAGUAGCGAAGUUCCUGAUUCCACACUGCCAAGAAAAGCCUCUAGCGAGGUGAGAGGUGCCCGUACCGCAAACCGACACAGGUAGGCGAGGAGAGAAUCCUAAGGUGAUCGAGAGAACUCUCGUUAAGGAACUCGGCAAAAUGACCCCGUAACUUCGGGAGAAGGGGUGCUCUGUUAGGGUGCAAGCCCGAGAGAGCCGCAGUGAAUAGGCCCAGGCGACUGUUUAGCAAAAACACAGGUCUCUGCGAAGCCGUAAGGCGAAGUAUAGGGGCUGACGCCUGCCCGGUGCUGGAAGGUUAAGAGGAGCGCUUAGCGUAAGCGAAGGUGCGAAUUGAAGCCCCAGUAAACGGCGGCCGUAACUAUAACGGUCCUAAGGUAGCGAAAUUCCUUGUCGGGUAAGUUCCGACCCGCACGAAAGGCGCAACGAUCUGGGCACUGUCUCAACGAGAGACUCGGUGAAAUUAUAGUACCUGUGAAGAUGCAGGUUACCCGCGACAGGACGGAAAGACCCCGUGGAGCUUUACUGCAGCCUGAUAUUGAAUGUUGGUACAGCU
Molecule: ribosomal RNA, 1737 nt
Filed under: Bacillus velezensis
Lineage: Bacteria; Bacillati; Bacillota; Bacilli; Caryophanales; Bacillaceae
Description: bacterial LSU rRNA
Rfam family: Bacterial large subunit ribosomal RNA
Source: RNAcentral